Molecule: ribosomal RNA, 253 nt
Filed under: uncultured bacterium
Lineage: Bacteria
Description: partial 16S ribosomal RNA
Rfam family: Bacterial small subunit ribosomal RNA
Source: RNAcentral
GACGUAGGGAGCGAGCGUUGUCCGGAUUUACUGGGCGUACAGGGAGCGUAGGCGGUUGGAUAAGCCCUCCGUGAAAUCUCCAGGCUUAACCUGGAAAGUGCAGAGGGGACUGUUCAGCUAGAGGAUGGGAGAGGAGCGCGGAAUUCCCGGUGUAGCGGUGAAAUGCGUAGAGAUCGGCAGGAACACCCAUUGCGAAAGCAGCGGACUGGCGCGGAACUGACACUGAGGUGCGAAAGCGUGGGGAGCGAACCGG